RNAcentral lists this transfer RNA (85 nucleotides) under Corynebacterium aquilae DSM 44791. RNAcentral describes it as "tRNA-Tyr". It matches the Rfam family "tRNA". From Rfam's summary of the family: Transfer RNA (tRNA) molecules are approximately 80 nucleotides in length. Their secondary structure includes four short double-helical elements and three loops (D, anti-codon, and T loops). Further hydrogen bonds mediate the characteristic L-shaped molecular structure. tRNAs have two regions of fundamental functional importance: the anti-codon, which is responsible for specific mRNA codon recognition, and the 3' end, to which the tRNAs corresponding amino acid is attached (by aminoacyl-tRNA synthetases). tRNAs cope with the degeneracy of the genetic code in two manners: having more than one tRNA (with a specific anti-codon) for a particular amino acid; and 'wobble' base-pairing, i.e. permitting non-standard base-pairing at the 3rd anti-codon position. The record is from RNAcentral. Lineage: Bacteria; Bacillati; Actinomycetota; Actinomycetes; Mycobacteriales; Corynebacteriaceae.
GCCAGGUUGCCCGAGCGGCCAAAGGGAGCGGACUGUAAAUCCGCCGGCAUUGCCUACGUUGGUUCGAAUCCAUCACCUGGCACCA